Long non-coding RNA from Zingiber officinale, 417 nucleotides. RefSeq lists it as uncharacterized. The transcript is spliced from 3 exons. NCBI's taxonomy places the organism in Eukaryota, Viridiplantae, Streptophyta, Magnoliopsida, Zingiberales, Zingiberaceae. The record is from RefSeq and is a predicted model, not a curated record.
UUGGCAGAUACACAGAUGCUGCAACUCUUCUUUUACGAUGGGGUGUAGCAGCUGAUAAAUGCAAUGCUGUUAACAGUCAAUGCAAGGCUUACUUGAGUGCAAUAAUCAUUUACCUCUAUAUGCAUGAUUUCCAGCAAGCUCAGAAGUGCUACAAUGAUUGUUCUCAAUUAUCAGGCUCGCGAGGAAAUUGCCUGCUGGGGAUCUGAAAGACUUCAAGAAGGAAGAGAAUAAGGAAACUUUGGAUGAUCCAAUUGGUGAUUUCUGUUUUACAAAGCCUAUAUUUACAUGUGUUUUGUUUUUAUGCUUUCAAAAUCGGUUGUUCGGUCUAUUGACAGACUUUGUCAGGAUUCUCUCUGGCAUGACAAUUCCAAUUCCAAAUCCAGAUCCGUUGCUUGGCAUAAUGUUUGUCUACCUAAA